This 468-nucleotide ribosomal RNA is filed under the name uncultured bacterium. Its description in RNAcentral is "partial 16S ribosomal RNA". It matches the Rfam family "Bacterial small subunit ribosomal RNA", at positions 28 to 507 of the family's 1533-position model. The record is from RNAcentral.
GACGAACGCUGGCGGCGUGCUUAACACAUGCAAGUCGAACGGAAAGGCCCUGCUUUUGUGGGGUGCUCGAGUGGCGAACGGGUGAGUAACACGUGAGUAACCUGCCCUUGACUUUGGGAUAACUUCAGGAAACUGGGGCUAAUACCGGAUAGGAGCUCCUGCUGCAUGGUGGGGGUUGGAAAGUUUCGGCGGUUGGGGAUGGACUCGCGGCUUAUCAGCUUGUUGGUGGGGUAGUGGCGUACCAAGGCUUUGACGGGUAGCCGGCCUGAGAGGUGGACCGGCCACCUUGGGACUGAGAUACGGCCCAGACUCCUACGGGAGGCAGCAGUGGGGGAUAUUGCACAAUGGGCGGAAGCCUGAUGCAGCAACGCCGCGUGCGGGAUGACGGCCUUCGGGUUGUAAACCGCUUUCGCCUGUGACGAAGCGUGAGUGACGGUAAUGGGUAAAGAAGCACCGGCUAACUACGUG